RNAcentral lists this ribosomal RNA (459 nucleotides) under uncultured bacterium. Its description in RNAcentral is "partial 16S ribosomal RNA". It matches the Rfam family "Bacterial small subunit ribosomal RNA", at positions 338 to 795 of the family's 1533-position model. The record is from RNAcentral.
CCUACGGGUGGCAGCAGUGAGGAAUAUUGGUCAAUGGACGGAAGUCUGAACCAGCCAUGCCGCGUGCAGGAUGACGGCUCUAUGAGUUGUAAACUGCUUUUGUACGAGAAUAAUAGUUCUUACGUGUAGGGCUUUGAAUGUAUCGUACGAAUAAGGAUCGGCUAACUCCGUGCCAGCAGCCGCGGUAAUACGGAGGAUUCGAGCGUUAUCCGGAUUUAUUGGGUUUAAAGGGUGCGUAGGCUGUCGGAUAAGUUAGAGGUCAAAUGUCGGGGCUUAACCCCGUACUGCCGUUGACACUGCAUCCCUUGAGUGCGCGAGAAGUAUGCGGAAUGCGUGGGGUAGCGGUGAAAUGCAUAGAUAUCACGCAGAACUCCGAUUGCGAAGGCAGCAUACCGGCGCGCAACUGACGCUCAUGCACGAAAGCGUGGGUAUCGAACAGGAUUAGAUACCCCGGUAGUC